This 484-nucleotide ribosomal RNA is filed under the name uncultured bacterium. Its description in RNAcentral is "partial 16S ribosomal RNA". It matches the Rfam family "Bacterial small subunit ribosomal RNA", at positions 30 to 507 of the family's 1533-position model. The record is from RNAcentral.
AUUGAACGCUGGCGGCAGGCCUAACACAUGCAAGUCGAGCGGAUGAAGGGAGCUUGCUCCUGGAUUCAGCGGCGGACGGGUGAGUAAUGCCUAGGAAUCUGCCUGGUAGUGGGGGAUAACGUCCGGAAACGGGCGCUAAUACCGCAUACGUCCUGAGGGAGAAAGUGGGGGAUCUUUGGACCUCACGCUAUCAGAUGAGCCUAGGUCGGAUUAGCUAGUUGGUGGGGUAAAGGCCUACCAAGGCGACGAUCCGUAACUGGUCUGAGAGGAUGAUCAGUCACACUGGAACUGAGACACGGUCCAGACUCCUACGGGGGGCAGCAGUGGGGAAUAUUGGACAAUGGGCGAAAGCCUGAUCCAGCCAUGCCGCGUGUGUGAAGAAGGUCUUCGGAUUGUAAAGCACUUUAAGUUGGGAGGAAGGGCAGUAAGUUAAUACCUUGCUGUUUUGACGUUACCAACAGAAUAAGCACCGGCUAACUUCGUG